Molecule: small RNA, 18 nt
Filed under: Arabidopsis thaliana (thale cress)
Lineage: Eukaryota; Viridiplantae; Streptophyta; Magnoliopsida; Brassicales; Brassicaceae
Description: ATSL261890
Source: RNAcentral
AAAACAAAGAAGAAAAAC